AAGUUAUCAGGAANUUACGGGGCUUCGGCUCGUCUCUCCCCCCUUGUGUGCGCGUCCCUCUGUUGCUUUGGCGGCUCCGGCCGCCCUUUGUCCUCCUCCCUCCUGUCGGUCUCCGCGGGCGUCUGUUUUCCCUGUUUUUUUUCUUUUUCUUUUCCCUCCGGGUCUCUUGGUGUCUGGCCUCGGUGGGGCGCGCCGCCGUGCG
Molecule: ribosomal RNA, 202 nt
Filed under: uncultured Basidiomycota
Lineage: Eukaryota; Fungi; Basidiomycota
Description: partial 18S ribosomal RNA
Source: RNAcentral